AGGGGUACCCGGGGGAGACUGUGGCAGCCCGCCGAGGGCGGGCAGGGAGCGGGAUGCACGCCCUGUCGAGGCGGGACGGGCCGCUCAGGAGAGCUGCGCACUGCCCGCCGGUCGUCUCCCGUCACUGAGGGACGGCGCGGUGCCUGCCAGGCUUCGCGGCGAGCGCCUUCAGUGUUCUCAGUGUUGGUACAGCCUCUUUGCUUGCUCAGAGGGCUAAAAGGUCUCAUCUGCUGUUCGAAGAAUGGAAUUGAGUGUGAAACAGCUCAGCCACAGCCACACAGUGAAAACUGAAGUUAACUUGCAAGAAGGUAUCAGCACCACUGGGCUCAGUGAUCCUCAGCAAUGUUCCUUUUAUUGGGAGCUGAAUUAAGCCACCACCCACACAAAACAAAAGGACCCUUUGGAAUGUCAACAGCAUCACUGGCAAUUGUGGGAAGGAGGAAUAAUGUGACUCUGCUUUCAGCACACUUGAGAUCACAGUUUGGGCAAGUUUUGUAUCUUGGAUAUGUGCAGUCCUGCUGAACAGAUUGGUAUCAAUCAUAAUGCUGCAGACAUGUUUGUGGAAGAGAUCAUCGGGGGGAAAUAGGGAGAGAACAACUCAGAGGAGGAAGAAGAGCUGGAAAGAACGCUAGGGAGCGUCCACACAGAGCCUUCAAUAGCAUAACUGUUACCAGCUACUUGUGAACUAGAAUGUCUCCCCAGCAAUUCUCCUGGACAGCAGCACUGUAAAGCAGCCCUGCAGGCAGCAGCACGCAGGUACAUGAUGCAACACACGCAAACGUCCACUAAGGAGAAAAUUCUAGCUCUGAAAAAUAACAGGUAUAGCAAUCUCCAUGUGAUAUUUCUUACUUUGCCUGCAUAAAUUCAGAACUAAGUAAAUCUUGUUCAUUCCUGUAUUUGUUUUUCCAGUUUAUUGUUUUCCAAGCAAUAAAUGAGUAGCACUCUGUUCACAUAA
Long non-coding RNA from Oxyura jamaicensis (ruddy duck), 955 nucleotides. RefSeq lists it as uncharacterized. The record is from RefSeq and is a predicted model, not a curated record. The transcript has 5 exons. Lineage: Eukaryota; Metazoa; Chordata; Aves; Anseriformes; Anatidae.